This 89-nucleotide Y RNA is filed under the name Carlito syrichta (Philippine tarsier). Its description in RNAcentral is "Y RNA (ENSTSYG00000020081.2)". It matches the Rfam family "Y RNA". From Rfam's summary of the family: Y RNAs are components of the Ro ribonucleoprotein particle (Ro RNP), in association with Ro60 and La proteins. The Y RNAs and Ro60 and La proteins are well conserved, but the function of the Ro RNP is not known. In humans the RNA component can be one of four small RNAs -- hY1, hY3, hY4 and hY5. The record is from Rfam by way of RNAcentral. Lineage: Eukaryota; Metazoa; Chordata; Mammalia; Primates; Tarsiidae.
GACUGGUCCAAGUGCAGUGGUGUUUACAACUAAUUGAUCACAACUAUUGUUUCUUCUCCAUUCCCACUGCUUCAUUUGACUAGUCUUUA